AUAUGUUGACUCAUUUAAACAACUGUUUCUUUUUUUAGGGUACAGAGGAACCAUAACAGGCUCCUGUUGCCAGUGUACUGUAUGUUGGACAGCACUGAUUCAUCAAAACAUUCUGGCCCACUGUUUUGAACAUCGCUAAGGACACAUACAGUAAUAUCCUGAGGCCAUCUCUUGGCAAGGGUGGCGCAUCUACAGUAUGACCUUUUCUUCUCCGGCAGCUUUGGAAGUUGUCCCUAAAAUCACCGAGCACGUACAGAAUUCAGUCCCCCCACAGGUUACAAACCAACAUCAAAUUUGCCUGGAUGGCAUCUCCUGAACCUUGCUGUACUCCAUAUUAAAAGCCCUUCCGCUUGGUGGCUGGACACAAAUAA
Long non-coding RNA from Myxocyprinus asiaticus (Chinese sucker), 371 nucleotides. RefSeq lists it as uncharacterized. The record is from RefSeq and is a predicted model, not a curated record. Lineage: Eukaryota; Metazoa; Chordata; Actinopteri; Cypriniformes; Catostomidae. The transcript is spliced from 3 exons.